Molecule: long non-coding RNA, 1369 nt
Filed under: Marmota monax (woodchuck)
Lineage: Eukaryota; Metazoa; Chordata; Mammalia; Rodentia; Sciuridae
Source: RNAcentral
UUUUCAGCAAAUAUCAAAUUGAGAUUGAUGAACAAUUCAAAUUUCAAAAAGUCAGAAUAUUAAAAAUUGCUUGAAAUAUUAAGAUCAUGUGGUUAGAUGUUGUUCUUAUGCAUUCUAUGAACCAGUCCUAUAAUCCACUCUUUAAAAAAAAAUUCUUUUUUCAAAUAAGUUGGGUGAAGAUGUUUGCUGCAUUUCAAUCAUGCAACAGCUAGCUCCUAAAAAGUGGUGAGUAAUUAAUAUUGAUUUGGAACUUCUGAGAAAGUUGGUUUUUACUUAAGCAUCAGAAACAAUUUUGUAAGAUUUUGUAACUCAUGAUACUGGGUUGGAAAGAAUAAAACACUUUGAACUAAGUCAAGGAAAAGUACAAGUUAGCAUCUUACUUCAUCACAGGAAAUACUGAUAACCAAGCUAUGGGAAGAGCAGGGGACUGAUGGAGUCUUGAGGAGCUUGGUUUGAAAGCAACAAGGACUUUUUCUGAUGUUUUCCACUCUUGUGCCUGCAAAAUGUUGGCCUUCUGAUUUUUUACUGCAAACUGGCAUCCUCCUUUUAGGGAGGAUGUAGGGAACACAGCUGCCUGCCGCCCCCAGCUUCAUAUCUUCCAGUCCUGUUACCACGCACAUUCCACGCUCUUUUCACAGCUUGGUUGUUCAAUACUUGUGUGACUUAUUAUGAUGCUAACUCCUCCUUUUCCUUGACAUAGUUCGAAUUGUGUUUUGUUCUUUCCAACUGAGCAUCAUGAAUUACAAAAUCUCAGUUGGACAUUGUUUAUGAUGCUUAAGUAAAAAUUAAUUUUCUCAGAAGUUCUAAAAAAGAAAAAAAAAUCACUUUGUGGUUUUAGCUCCUAUUCAAGAUGAUCUGAGAACAGAACUAGAGUUGGGUCAUAUAUCCAUCCCUUGACCAGUCUUUUGUGAUCAAGAAGAAAGAGUAGUAAAUGAAUAUAGGUAUAAUUAUCCUAAGAGAAGAGGGAAGAGAAAGGUUACUGCUGUUCCCAGUGUAAGAAAGCUUAAUUGGGGGGCUGGGGUUGUGGCUCAGUGGUAGUGGUAGAAUGCUCGCCUAACUUGUGCAGGGCCCUGGGUUCCAUCCUCAGCACCACGUACAACAAAUAAAAUGAAAGUAUUGUGUCCAAUUAUAACUUAAAAAAAAAAGAAAGAAAGCUUAACUGGGAACAAAACAAUAGGUGUCCCUUGCAUAAGCAACAAAAUUUUAAUAUAAGUAUUUCUUAGUAAGUUUGAAAUAUACUAAAAAAUUACUUAUUUAUCUGAAAUUCAAAUUUAAUGUGGUGCCUUGUAUAUAUAUAUAUAUAUAUAUAUAUAUGUGUGUGUGUGUGUGUGUGUGUGUGUGUGUAUGUGUAUGUGUGUACUAAACCCUG